Molecule: ribosomal RNA, 450 nt
Filed under: uncultured bacterium
Lineage: Bacteria
Description: partial 16S ribosomal RNA
Rfam family: Bacterial small subunit ribosomal RNA
Source: RNAcentral
GUGGGGAAUCUUCCGCAAUGGACGAAAGUCUGACGGAGCAACGCCGCGUGAGUGAAGAAGGUUUUCGGAUCGUAAAGCUCUUUCGUUAGGGACGAACGUGCUCUUUGUGAAUAAUGAGGAGUAAUGACGGUACCUAAAUAAGAAGCCACGGCUAACUACGUGCCAGCAGCCGCGGUAAUACGUAGGUGACAAGCGUUGUCCGGAAUUAUUGGGCGGAAAGCGCGCGCAGGCGGGAUAUCAAGUCUGUCUUAAAAGUGCGAGGCUCAACCUCGUGAGGGGACAGAAACUGGUAUUCUUGAGUGUCGGAGAGGAAAGUGGAAUUCCAAGUGUAGCGGUGAAAUGCGUAGAGAUUUUGAAGAACACCAGUGGCGAAGGCGACUUUCUGGACGAUGUCUGACGCUGAGGCGCGAAAGCUAGGGGAGCGAACGGGAUUAGAAACCCUGGUAGUCC